AGGCAGCAGUAGGGAAUCUUCCACAAUGGGCGAAAGCCUGAUGGAGCAACGCCGCGUGGGUGAAGAAGGUCUUCGGAUCGUAAAACCCUGUUGUUAGAGAAGAAAGUGCGUGAGAGUAACUGUUCACGUUUCGACGGUAUCUAACCAGAAAGCCACGGCUAACUACGUGCCAGCAGCCGCGGUAAUACGUAGGUGGCAAGCGUUAUCCGGAUUUAUUGGGCGUAAAGGGAACGCAGGCGGUCUUUUAAGUCUGAUGUGAAAGCCUUCGGCUUAACCGGAGUAGUGCAUUGGAAACUGGGAGACUUGAGUGCAGAAGAGGAGAGUGGAACUCCAUGUGUAGCGGUGAAAUGCGUAGAUAUAUGGAAGAACACCAGUGGCGAAAGCGGCUCUCUGGUCUGUAACUGACGCUGAGGUUCGAAAGCGUGGGUAGCAAACAGGAUUAGAUACCCUGGUAGUCCACGCC
This 463-nucleotide ribosomal RNA is filed under the name uncultured bacterium. RNAcentral describes it as "bacterial SSU rRNA". It matches the Rfam family "Bacterial small subunit ribosomal RNA", at positions 346 to 801 of the family's 1533-position model. The record is from RNAcentral.